This 615-nucleotide unclassified non-coding RNA is filed under the name uncultured Myxococcales bacterium. RNAcentral's name for it is "partial contains 16S ribosomal RNA, 16S-23S ribosomal RNA intergenic spacer, and 23S ribosomal RNA". The stretch from base 1 to 184 matches the Rfam family "Bacterial small subunit ribosomal RNA", at positions 1348 to 1533 of the family's 1533-position model. The record is from RNAcentral. Lineage: Bacteria; Pseudomonadati; Myxococcota; Myxococcia; Myxococcales.
UCCAGCAGCCGCGGUAAUACGUUCCCGGGCCUUGUACACACCGCCCGUCACACCAUGGGAGUCAAUUGCUCCAGAAGUCACUGUGCUAACCGCAAGGAGGCAGGCGCCCAAGGAGUGAUUGGUAACUGGGGUGAAGUCGUAACAAGGUAGCCGUAGGGGAACCUGCGGCUGGAUCACCUCCUUUCUAAGGAGACCCGGAGUAGGGCAGCUCUUCGGAGCUGGACGCUACUCCACGGCGCUUCGGUGCCGCGAAGGUCGACUAGGUCAAUGUCCUGCAAUCAUUCGUAUCUCUCUUCUCUUUCGGGUUGCUAUUUGGUUUUGAAGGACCGGGCGCAUGCCCGCUCUUUGAGAUUUCGGAUGCUGUUUUUGGGUUCGUUCAUCCCGCGCCUGCCUGGGCCUAUAGCUCAGGUGGCUAGAGCGCGCGCCUGAUAAGCGCGAGGUCGAUGGUUCAAGUCCAUCUAGGCCCACUCCUUGUCAGGUGCUCGGUUGCCCCCGUAUGAUUGCGAGACUUGGCUGCGAAGGCAGUCAGAAGUUCGCCAGACGCCAAAGCUCUUUAACUUUGGGUCCUUUGGAUUUUUUAAGGGCUGUAGCUCAGCUGGGAAAGCGCCAGCUUUG